Molecule: ribosomal RNA, 253 nt
Filed under: uncultured bacterium
Lineage: Bacteria
Description: partial 16S ribosomal RNA
Rfam family: Bacterial small subunit ribosomal RNA
Source: RNAcentral
UACGUAGGGGGCAAGCGUUGUCCGGAUUUAUUGGGCGUAAAGAGCGUGUAGGCGGUUAGGUAGGUCCGUUGUGAAAACUCGAGGCUCAACCUCGAGACGCCGAUGGAAACCAUCUGACUAGAGUCCGGAAGAGGAGAGUGGAAUUCCUGGUGUAGCGGUGAAAUGCGCAGAUAUCAGGAAGAACACCCGUGGCUAAGGCGGCUCUCUAGUACGUGACUGACGCUGAGACGCGAAGGCGUGGGGAGCGAACAGG